GACGAACGCUGGCGGCGUGCUUAACACAUGCAAGUCGAACGGAAAGGCCCUGCUUUUGUGGGGUGCUCGAGUGGCGAACGGGUGAGUAACACGUGAGUAACCUGCCCUUGACUUUGGGAUAACUUCAGGAAACUGGGGCUCAUACCGGAUAGGAGCUCCUGCUGCAUGGUGGGGGUUGGACAGUUUCGGCGGUUGGGGAUAGACUCGCGGCUUAUCAGCUUGUUGGUGGGGUAGUGGCUUACCAAGGCUUUGACGGGUAGCCGGCCUGAGAGGGUGACCGGCCACAUUGGGACUGAGAUACGGCCCAGACUCCUACGGUAGGCAGCAGUGGGGAAUAUUGCACAAUGGGCGGAAGCCUGAUGCAGCAACGCCGCGUGCGGGAUGACGGCCUGCGGGUUGUAAACCGCUUUCGCCUGUGACGAAGCGUGAGUGACGGUAAUGGGUAAAGAAGCACCGGCUAACUACGUG
RNAcentral lists this ribosomal RNA (468 nucleotides) under uncultured bacterium. RNAcentral's name for it is "partial 16S ribosomal RNA". It matches the Rfam family "Bacterial small subunit ribosomal RNA", at positions 28 to 507 of the family's 1533-position model. The record is from RNAcentral.